This 543-nucleotide ribosomal RNA is filed under the name Serratia fonticola. Its description in RNAcentral is "partial 23S ribosomal RNA". It matches the Rfam family "Bacterial large subunit ribosomal RNA", at positions 1 to 574 of the family's 2925-position model. The record is from RNAcentral. Lineage: Bacteria; Pseudomonadati; Pseudomonadota; Gammaproteobacteria; Enterobacterales; Yersiniaceae.
GGGUUGUGAGGUUAAGUGACUAAGCGUACACGGUGGAUGCCUAGGCAGUCAGAGGCGAUGAAGGGCGUGCUAAUCUGCGAAAAGUGUCGGUAAGGUGAUAUGAACCGUUAUAACCGGCAAUACCCGAAUGGGGAAACCCAGUGUGUUUCGACACACUAUCGUAUGGUGAAUACAUAGCCAUACGAGGCGAACCGGGGGAACUGAAACAUCUAAGUACCCCGAGGAAAAGAAAUCAACCGAGAUUCCCCCAGUAGCGGCGAGCGAACGGGGAACAGCCCAGAACCUGAAUCAGUUCUUGUGUUAGUGGAAGCGUCUGGAAAGUCGCGCAGCAAAGGGUGAUAGCCCCGUACACUAAAAUGCAUUAACUGUGAGUUCGAUGAGUAGGGCGGGACACGUGACAUCCUGUCUGAAUAUGGGGGGACCAUCCUCCAAGGCUAAAUACUCCUGACUGACCGAUAGUGAACCAGUACCGUGAGGGAAAGGCGAAAAGAACCCCGGCGAGGGGAGUGAAAUAGAACCUGAAACCGUGUACGUACAAGCAGU